RNAcentral lists this unclassified non-coding RNA (4557 nucleotides) under Hevea brasiliensis (rubber tree). Lineage: Eukaryota; Viridiplantae; Streptophyta; Magnoliopsida; Malpighiales; Euphorbiaceae. The record is from RNAcentral.
CUCUCUCUCUCUCUCUCUCUUCCUCCCCUAACUGAAAUUUUCCCGAGAAACAGACGGACUAUUCAAACUCUUAUCUCUAUCCCUAUCUCAAUCGCAGUCGCACCUUCUUCAUCAUCUUGUCUCUUUUCUUCUUCUUUUUGUUCUUCUUCUUCUUCUUCUUAUCCGUCAUCUCCUUACAACAUCCCAAUUCUCUUUACAACAUCCCAAUUCUCUCACCCGCGGCAGUAAUUUAUAAUAAUAUAAUCAAAUCCCAACUUCCCUACUAAUUUAAUUUAAUUUAUUUUUUUUUUUUUACUUGUUUUAAAACCAAUCAUCAUACAUGGGUUGUGCCACUUCCAAGCUCGACGAUCUUCCGGCGGUGGCCCUCUGCCGGGACCGCUGUGCUUUUCUUGAUGAAGCUAUUAACCAGCGCUUUGCUUUUGCUGAAGCCCACAAUGCAUAUAUUUACUCUUUGAGAAUGAUUGGUGGUUCUUUGCAUCAUUUUAUAGAACAGGAAUAUUCUGCUUCCGGGUUUGUUCCUAAGCUCAAUUUGCCUCCUCAAAGAAAAGGCGAUCCGCUCACUCUCAGCGAUGAAGGUACCAGUUCACCCAAGAAGCGUAACAUAGCUCACGACUCUCACUCCAACUCUGGUUCCCACCUGCACUUCCACUCUGAUUCUGAUGACGACGACGAUGAUAUCUCGCAUCUCCAUCAUUCUGAUCAUUCCUCGCCUUUGCACGGCAGUGGUAGCGGAGGUGGAGGUCAUAUCGAGUAUAUGCCUUCAGAGUACAUGGGUACUGGGCACGAUUCAUAUUCCGGUGGUGGGUUUCUGCACAUGAAUUAUAUGAAGAAUAAAGCCACCACCCCGUCUGUGGUAUAUGAGCAGAGGCCUGUGACUUCAGAGACUGUUCAUUUUGGUGAAUCUUCAUCUUCUUCUUAUUUUUAUCCGAAUAGUUCCUAUCAAAUGAAUUAUUUAUACCCAAAUUAUGGUCCUGCUGGCGGUGCAAUGACUGGGUACUACGGGUCUUUCCCGCCGUACGGGUCUUCAUCUACACCUCCGCCGCCGACGGCUUCCUCAUCAAAACCUCCGCCACCUCCUCCUCCACCUCCUUCAACUUCAGCUUUGGAUUUCUUGAAUCUGUUUGAAAGCUAUGAUAAUUACUAUCCUCCUUACACGCCAAGUAGAGACUCAAAGGAGUUGAGGGAAGAGGAGGGAAUUCCUGAUUUGGAAGAUGAGGAUUACCAACAAGAGGUCGUGAAGGAGGUCCACGGACACGAGAAGUAUGUUGAUGGUGGUGGAGGUGGUGCUAAGGCUAAUCAUUAUUCGAAAUCAGUGAUGAUGGACGAUGGGGAUGCUAAUGUUGGUGGAAAUACUGAGGCCUCCCUUUAUCAAACGAGACCGAGUGCGUCCAUGGAUAAUGAUGGACUGGAGUAUGAGGUGCAUGUGGUGGAGAAGAAAGUUGAUGAUGAGAGAUCAGAGGAGCAUAGAAAUGCCGGAUUUAAGAGAGGUGGUGGUUUGUUGGACGUGUCUCAAGUGGCUUUCGAAAUCAAGAUUCAAUUUGAGAGAGCUUCUGAUUCUGGGAAAGAAAUUGCCCAGAUGCUUGAAGUGGGGAGGCUUCCUUAUCAGCGUAAACAUGGUGGGUAUAAAAUGUUCAUUCUCUAGGAUUUUUUUUUUCUUUAAAAAUAUUGAUGACGUUAUUUUUAUAUUGCCAUGGUCUUAUACGCUUUCUUGAUCUGUAUGAGUUCUUGUGUUUUUGGUGUUAGGGUCAACUAGAUUUUUAAAUAUAUAAUAGUUUCUGAUUGGUUUAUAUAUAUUAUUUAAGUGAACUGGAUUUCACUUAGCUAGAGUUUAACUUGCAAUUCUUGAUCUUUGUGAAUCAGUUUCUAAGAUGUUGCAUGUAGUCACUCCUUCAUUAUCUUUAGUAUCCUCACAGCCAUCUACUUCCAAAAGUGCUGAGGCCUCAUCUUCCACGGACAAGACUGAUCCAGCGUACUUGGAAAUAGAUGAAGAUUUGAAGAUGAGGUCGAAAAACCUUUCUGCUACCUUGCAUAAGCUGCAUCUUUGGGAGAAGAAACUCUAUAAUGAAGUUAAGGCUGAGGAGAAAAUGCGGGUAGUUCAUGAGAGGAAGUGCCGUAAGCUGAAGCGUUUGGAUGAGAGGGGUGCUGAAGCUCAUAAAGUUGAUGCAACUCGGACAUUAAUUAGGACUCUCUCCACAAAGAUAAAAUUUUCAAUUCAGGUUGUAGACAAGAUAUCUGUUACAAUAAACAAUAUUAGGGAUGAAGAGCUAUGGCCACAGCUAAAUGAAUUAAUUCAGGGAUUAACCAGGAUGUGGAAAAGGAUGCUUGAAUGCCAUCAGAAUCAAUGCCAGGCAAUCAAAGAAGCCAAAGGUUUGGGUUCUAUUGGAUCAGGUAAAAAGCUUGGUGAUGAUCAUCUUAAAGCCACAUUGCAGCUUGAGCAUGACCUUCUUAAUUGGACUUCCAGCUUCUCAAGUUGGAUAGGUGCCCAGAAAGGUUAUGUGAGAGCCUUGAAUAGCUGGCUUGGUAAAUGUCUCUUGUAUGAACCAGAAGAAACACCAGAUGGAAUAGCUCCCUUCUCGCCUGGUAGGAUGGGUGCACCUCCAGUGUUUGUAAUCUGUAAUCAGUGGGCACAAGCUAUGGAUACAAUAUCUGAAAAGGAAGUAAUUGAUGCCAUGCGCAUUUUUGCUUCGAGUGUGCUUAAGCUUUGGGAACAGGAUAAAUUAGAAAUGCGCCAGAGAAUGAUGAUGAAUAAGGAUUUGGAGAGAAAAGUUAGAAAUUUAGAUAGAGAGGAUCAAAAGAUACACAAGGAGAUUCAGGCAUUAGACAAGAAAAUUGUUCUUGUUGCAGGGGACAGUUAUAAUCUAUCUGUGGCUGGAAACAUUGUGUAUCAGAGUGAUACUAGCAAUAGCAGUUUACAGGGGAGCCUGCAACGCAUUUUUGAGGCCAUGGAGAAAUUCAUGGCUGAUUCAACUAAAGCUUAUGAGGAGCUAAUUCAGCGUGGUGAAGAAGAGAGGCUUGCUCGAGAGCAUGAGAGAGUUUCAUAGGGCUGUAUGGUGCAAUUGAAUGCAUCGUUUCUUUUGAACUGCUAAUUGUCAGGUGCAACAUAAAGUCCCAUGAGAAAUGUAUGGAGUGCAGGAUCUGCCAGAAUUUAUGAUGUCGAAUUAAACUGCUCCAGUUAUCCCUUUUGUGGUCUUGUAGUGGAGCACUCCUGGUUUUGAAGCCUUCGAUUGAGGGUAGACUUCUUCAGGUGGUGGAUGAUGGUGUAUCUUGGUUUCAGUGGCAAGCCAUAUUACUGGCUAAAAUUUUGUUGGCAGAUAUAAUUGUGAGGGCGAUGAGAUGAUUUCAUCUCUUUUAGACCAGACGUGGCUUUUACCAUAUUGAUCCAACAAUUAUGAUUGGAUGAUGAUAUGGAAUUGAUAAAAGGAGGCAAUGGUCAUAUGAUAAUGCCAAUUCAAAACCAAAUUCUGUCACUUCUGUAUGUUCUGCAAAACAGAUGCUGGCCAGCUCUUAGGAUUGCAUUUGAGUACGGCGAUGUUGAUAAUAUGUGGUGCUUGUUGAUGCCCUAUUGCCAUUAAUUUGCUAUCAAGCACUAGGCUUCAAGGAAGUAAGACAGAAAUAAGCUUGACAGAUCCAAGUAAAGCAGAUAUUUCCCCGCAAUUUUGAUGAGGAUGUGUUCGGUUGUAGGUGCAAGGGCUGUGUAGGUUGACGCAAGUCAGAGAAUUGCCCAGAUAGCAGAUGUUCCUUUUUUUCUCCCAAAAUAUUUAUUUAUAUUAAUUCUUGUACAGGCCUUUUUCACUGAGAAGACUUCCAAUAAAGGGUAUUGCUGAAAAUGUGCGGAAGGUUUUAAUGAUGUAGCAGAUAGAGUAUUCUGCGUAGUUUCAGGCUGUUCAAGCUGUAGGCUUCCACAAUGUUUAUAAAAGUUAGAACAUUCUCGCUAUUGCCUUUUAUUGCAGAUCCUAUUUUGUAACUAUAACACUGUCCUGAGGCUCCCUGUGCUUUGUUGAUUGAAGUGUGCAGUUCUGUGCAUAUAGUGGUAAGAUCUACAGUGGUAUUUUGGCACCAAAAUGAAGUUCCAUUCUGUGAACUUUGGGAAAAAUAUAGUGGUUGAACAGUGAUAGAAUCUGGUAAAAUAGCAGUAUUUGGGCGGAGAUUUUUUGACUAGCUGGAUGGAUCAUGAAAUGACUACCAAAUAAUUGAGGGCUAUCAGGUACCUAUGCAGUGAUUGUGAUUAGGAUAUUUUGGUGGUGACCCAUCAGAUUUUACUUUUAUCUUUUGCAGGAUAUUUAGUCAGAAAAGUUUGUGAUGAUUGUUGCUUGGGUUUGCAGAAUGAAGAAAACUCAUCUUUCACAUUGCUUGGUCUUUUCUUCACAUAAGUGGACACCACUGCAAGCUUUUUUAAAAAUAAUUGGACUAAAUUUAGAAUAUUAUUUUGUUAUAAAAAUAAAUACCUGUAUUUUCUUAAUGUAUUUUAGUCUUAAUUAAGUUCUUAAUUUUUUUUAAUUAAUCCCAACACCUUCAAUUAAGGCUAUAACUAGCAUCGCUUUACAUUACAUGGCAAAU